RNAcentral lists this ribosomal RNA (470 nucleotides) under uncultured bacterium. RNAcentral's name for it is "bacterial SSU rRNA". It matches the Rfam family "Bacterial small subunit ribosomal RNA", at positions 917 to 1382 of the family's 1533-position model. The record is from RNAcentral.
GGGCCCGCACAAGCGGUGGAGCAUGUGCUUUAAUUCGAUGCAACGCGAAGAACCUUACCUGGAUUUGACAUGGGGGUGAAAGGUCGCAGAGAUGUGAUCCCUUCCGCAAGGAACGCCCUACACAGGUGCUGCAUGGUUGUCGUCAGCUCGUGUCGUGAGAUGUUAGGUUAAGUCCUGUAACGAGCGCAACCCUCGCCCUUAGUUGCUAACAGGUUAUGCUGAGAACUCUAAGGGGACCGCCUGGUUUAACCAGGAGGAAGGUGGGGAUGACGUCAAAUCCUCAUGGCCCUUACGUCCAGGGCUAGACACGUGCUACAAUGGUAGAAACAGCGGGAUGCAAGCUGGUGACAGCAAGCUAAUCCCUUAAAAUCUAUCUCAGUUCGGAUUGAAGUCUGCAAUUCGACUUCAUGAAGCUGGAAUCGCUAGUAAUCGCGGAUCAGCAUGCCGCGGUGAAUACGUUCCCGGGCCUU